UUGGAGGGCAAGUCUGGUGCCAGCAGCCGCGGUAAUUCCAGCUCCAAUAGCGUAUAUUAAAGUUGUUGCAGUUAAAAAGCUCGUAGUUGAAUUUCGGGGUUCUACCGUUGGUCGGGCUAACCAGUCUGUACUGGCGUGUAAAAUUCCUACCUUCUGGAGAACCAUCAUGUUAUUAAUUUAGCGUGGUGGGAAACCAGGACCUUCACCUUGAAAAAAUUAGAGUGUUCAAAGCAGGCUUACGUCUGAAUACAUUAGCAUGGAAUAAUAGAAUAGGACGGUGGUCCUGUUUUGUUGGUUUCUGAAUCACCGUAAUGAUUAAUAGGGAUAGUUGGGGGCAUUAGUAUUCAAUUGUCAGAGGUGAAAUUCUUGGAUUUAUUGAAGACUAACUUCUGCGAAAGCAUUUGCCAAGGAUGUUUUCAUUAAUCAAGAACGAAAGUUAGGGGAUCGAAGACGAUCAGAUACCGUCGUAGUCUUAACCAUAAACUAUGCCGACUAGGGAUCGGACGAAGUUAAUUUUAUAAUGACGCGUUCGGCGCCUUACGGGAAAC
Molecule: ribosomal RNA, 548 nt
Filed under: uncultured Glomeromycotina
Lineage: Eukaryota; Fungi; Glomeromycota
Description: SSU rRNA
Rfam family: Eukaryotic small subunit ribosomal RNA
Source: RNAcentral